AUUGAACGCUGGCGGUAUGCUUAAGACAUGCAAGUCGAACGGUAACAGGUUAAGCUGACGAGUGGCGGACGAGUGAGUAACGCGUGGGAAUCUACCUUGUAGUGGGGGAUAAGCCAGGGAAACUUGGACUAAUACCGCAUACGCCCUAAGGGGGAAAGGCGCAAGUCGCUAUAAGAUGAGCCCGCGUCUGAUUAGGUAGUUGGUGGGGUAAAGGCCUACCAAGCCGACGAUCAGUAGCUGGUCUGAGAGGAUGAUCAGCCACGUCGGGACUGAGACACGGCCCGGACUCCUACGGGAGGCAGCAGUCGGGAAUAUUGGACAAUGGGGGAAACCCUGAUCCAGCAAUACCGCGUGUGUGAAGAAGGCCUGCGGGUUGUAAAGCACUUUCAGUUGGGAAGAUAAUGACGUUACCAACAGAAGAAGCACCGGCUAACUCCGUGCCAGGAGCCGCGGUAAUGCGUAUGUGU
This 467-nucleotide ribosomal RNA is filed under the name uncultured bacterium. RNAcentral describes it as "bacterial SSU rRNA". It matches the Rfam family "Bacterial small subunit ribosomal RNA", at positions 30 to 533 of the family's 1533-position model. The record is from RNAcentral.